Molecule: long non-coding RNA, 1107 nt
Filed under: Pandoravirus salinus
Description: putative ncRNA
Source: RNAcentral
UGCUUUGUCCGCCUCCCCCCCCCCCAUCGAUUUUUUCCUCAACCCUCUUUUUCCACUCUCCUUUUGCGUCGAUGGCCUUUUCGGGGCCGUCCCUUUUGCGCGCUCUCUUUUUUUCGCAUUUUUUGUGUGUUUAAAGCGGAAAAGGCGACGCCGCGGACGGGAUCUUUUGUUUUUCCUGUGCUGCGGCGGACCGGCGCGCGGCGUGUUGGCCCGACCGACAAGGUGCGACAGAGCAAAAAAAAGAUAUCGAGAAAAAGAAGAACGGGCAAAUAACUCUCUCUCUCUCUCUCUCUUGCCGCUUUUUUUACGCACUGAAAGACUGGCCGACUAAAAAAGAGGCAUUGAAAAAAAGGGCCGAUGGCGAUGGUGCUCGACGAGAGCAGAGGAGAAGAGGCGCCGACAGGUAAACAGAGGAUGAAAAAAAAAAGGCGGCGGUUCUGCGCCGCGAAUCGCAAGAGCCCGCGCCAACGACAGCGGCGCGCGCGGGCACGAGCGCGACAAAGGGAGGCACGGCGUCCUAGACGGUGCAACGACGCUCGGUUCACCUAGGUGCGCGUGCCCGUGAUAAAGUUGGCGACGGUGGCGGUCUCGUUGGCGGCGGGCGGCUUGAACCGAAGCCAGCAGCCGUUCCUGUUCCACAGCGGGUUGGGCGGCACGGCGCCGGCGUCGUAGACGUACUGGACGCAUCGGGCGUCGGCGCGACAGCGCGCCUCGCAGACGUCGACACUGGCCGCCGUGCCGGAAAAGGUGCCCACCGUCGGGUCGGCAAAGGUUUGCGAGAGGCCCAGGUCGGCGAGCACGGUGCCCACCGUAUUGGUGUUGGCGGCGCGCGUAAAGGUCGCCGAUGACGGCGGCGUCACAGGAUAAAACGGUCCGCCGUUGGGCGGCGGCGGCGGCGGAGACGGUGUGACGGGCGCCACGGGAUAAAACGGGCCGCUGCCAGAGGCGGGCGUCACGGGCAAGAGGGCACCGGCGGCCCGCUUCUUGCUGCGCUCGUGAACGAUCCACGCGACCACGGCAGCCAGGACGGCGGCCAGCGCGACGCCGCUGACCGCCCACCAUACCCAUUCAUAAUCGCGCGGCGGCGCGGGUGUGGCAGGCGGCGGG